GAUGAACGCUAGCGGCAGGCCUAAUACAUGCAAGUCGAACGGGAUCCAGAUCAAAGCUUGCUUUGGUUUGGUGAGAGUGGCGCACGGGUGCGUAACGCGUGAGCAACCUACCCUUGUCAGGGGGAUAGCCCGGCGAAAGUCGGAUUAAUACCGCAUGACAUCAUUGAGAGGCAUCUUUCGAUGAUCAAAGAUUUAUCGGACAAGGAUGGGCUCGCGUGACAUUAGCUAGUUGGUAAGGUAACGGCUUACCAAGGCUACGAUGUCUAGGGGCUCUGAGAGGAGAAUCCCCCACACUGGUACUGAGACACGGACCAGACUCCUACGGGAGGAAGCAGUAAGGAAGAUUGGUCAAUGGACGGAAGUCUGAACCAGCCAUGCCGCGUGCAGGAAGACGGCCCUAUGGGUUGUAAACUGCUUUUAUACGGGAACAAACGUCGGUACGGGUACCGGUCUGAGUGUACCGUAAGAAUAAGGAUCGGCUAACUCCGUG
RNAcentral lists this ribosomal RNA (490 nucleotides) under uncultured bacterium. Its description in RNAcentral is "partial 16S ribosomal RNA". It matches the Rfam family "Bacterial small subunit ribosomal RNA", at positions 28 to 507 of the family's 1533-position model. The record is from RNAcentral.